RNAcentral lists this ribosomal RNA (443 nucleotides) under uncultured bacterium. Its description in RNAcentral is "partial 16S ribosomal RNA". It matches the Rfam family "Bacterial small subunit ribosomal RNA", at positions 338 to 795 of the family's 1533-position model. The record is from RNAcentral.
CCUACGUGUGGCAGCAGUGGGGAAUAUUGGGCAAUGGGCGAAAGCCUGACCCAGCAACGCCGCGUGAAGGAAGAAGGCUUUCGGGUUGUAAACUUCUUUUCUCAGGGACGAAGCAAGUGACGGUACCUGAGGAAUAAGCCACGGCUAACUACGUGCCAGCAGCCGCGGUAAUACGUAGGGGGCAAGCGUCAUCCGGAUUUACUGGGUGUAAAGGGGGAGCAGACGGCACUGCAAGCCAGGAGUGAAAGCCCGGGGCCCAACCCCGGGACUGCUCUUGAAACUGUAUGGCUGGAGUACAGGAGGGGCAGGCGGAAUUCCUAGGGUAGCGGUGAAAUGCGUAGAUAUUAGGAGGAACACCAGUGGCGAAGGCGGCCUGCUGGACUGUGACUGACGUUGAGGCCCGAAGGCGUGGGGAGCAAACAGGAUUAGAUACCCCGGUAGUC